This is a non-coding RNA of Picea glauca (white spruce), 121 nucleotides long. Lineage: Eukaryota; Viridiplantae; Streptophyta; Pinopsida; Pinales; Pinaceae. The record is from Rfam.
UCAUGCAAUGAUCAUAUGUCUAAUGCAUCGGAUCUCAUUAGAACUUCGCAGUUAAGUGCGCUCGGACUAGAGUAGUACUAAGAUGGGUGAUUGUCUGGGAAUUCCUAGUGUUUUACAUGCC